Molecule: ribosomal RNA, 253 nt
Filed under: uncultured bacterium
Lineage: Bacteria
Description: partial 16S ribosomal RNA
Rfam family: Bacterial small subunit ribosomal RNA
Source: RNAcentral
UACAGAGGGUGCGAGCGUUAAUCGGAAUUACUGGGCGUAAAGCGUGCGUAGACGGUUAUUUAAGUCGGAUGUGAAAGCCCCGGGCUCAACCUGGGAAUUGCAUUCGAGACUGAAUAGCUAGGGUACGGUAGAGGGAAGUGGAAUUUCCGGUGUAGCGGUGAAAUGCGUAGAUAUCGGGAGGAACACCAGUGGCGAAGGCGGUUCUCUGGGAAUAUCCUGACGCUGAGGAGCGAAAGUGUGGGGAGCGAACAGG